GCCAGGUGUCUGGAGCGUGGGAGUGGCCCUCAGAUUCCCGAUUUACGCGGAAUAGCGACGAGCCAUGCUCCAGCUGUGCUCUAUUAAAUAUUUCCAAAAGGGCCUGUCACCCGUGCUGUUCUAGAUAUUCUGGUGAAGAAUACAGAAUCAACAUGGCUUUCCUUUGCUCAGAAGCCAUUGGUGGGAAGUGAACUCUUGUUAAACUUGAAGAUUUUCAGUGAAUGGACCUGACUAAACU
Molecule: long non-coding RNA, 238 nt
Filed under: Ursus maritimus (polar bear)
Lineage: Eukaryota; Metazoa; Chordata; Mammalia; Carnivora; Ursidae
Description: lncRNA (ENSUMAG00000021551.1)
Source: RNAcentral